Non-coding RNA from Paramormyrops kingsleyae, 1445 nucleotides. The record is from RefSeq and is a predicted model, not a curated record. NCBI's taxonomy places the organism in Eukaryota, Metazoa, Chordata, Actinopteri, Osteoglossiformes, Mormyridae.
GUUAUACUUAAAAUUUUUCAUUAACUAAACUUUCAUCCAACCCUACGUGCAAUUCUAGACUUUUACCCAUUUUUUUUACAGGUUAUGUGCAAUUUAAUUAUCUAUGUCUAGAACCAGAAGUACAGUUUGACAUAAAGAUUAUGUAACCUGUAAAUCAAGUGACUAACACAACUUCAUUUUUUUUGUACACCACCUCCUUCAAAAAAAAGAAAAUCUGAUGUAUAUAUUCUUGAAAAUAAACAAUGUUUAAUUUCUCAUACAUACAUACAUACAUACAUAAUACAUAAAUAAGGGAAUUCAGGAUGAGGGAACAGUACUGUGGAAAUAUCCUCUUUCCAGUUUUCUGUAUAAAUAACCCCUCAAUAUUAUAGACGUUUAAGGAGCGACAAUGACAGUGUGUUUCAUAUUAUACAGCUUGUUUUAUUGUGUUUGUCUGUUCUUUUCCCCUAGACGCAGGGCCAGCUCUUGCUAUUGGCAGAACAGGCAUUUGCUUAUGUCCCUGAUUUACCUGCGUUGUGGAGGAAGUGAAAUGGUCAUAAGUUUUCUUGGUAGGACGGCUCACAAGUAGAAAAGACAGAUCUGGCUCUGGGUAAACUAUGACACUGGUGAGACAGACGUAAGGACUGCUGCAAUUUCAUCGUGGACAAAGUACAUGAUGUAAGAAAGAACCCAGGUGAUGGAGUCAGUGACAGGUCAGCAGGCCCAGCAGGCUGUCAUUUGGAAUUUCUUGUCUGCAGAGCAGGAUCUGAGCAACUUCAGGACAAUAAAUAUGUAUGGGAACCCGCCUUUAUGAUACAGAACAGCACGAGAGAAUGUGACCUACGAAAAGGAACGUUCCGCAGGGACAUGGUACCGCCUGUCUGCUUCCACAGCCCGCUUGUCAGCACCUGUCACAAGUGGCGCGACCAACCAAAUGUGUGAUUGAUGUAAUGUAAUAUUUAUACAGCCAAUGAUUGUUGUGCAGGGCAAACAUUCUUUUUCGGCAUAUGGCAAUGUUUUGGUCUGAAGGAAAAGGUAUGAGUGAUAUGAGCAGUAUUUCUUAGUGUAGGUCCUGGAGUGCAACCAAUCAGACUUAAUUGGGCUGUUAUGACAAGGCUGGAAGUAAAAAUAAAAUGUAAUUCAUGAAUAUAAACACAAUUUUAAAAUACUUCGGAAAGAUCGGCACAAAUAUUAAAUUACAGUCAGUGGGUUAUCAACAAUUUAACUCAACCUAAUUAAGAGCUGUGUUAUUAAGCAUUCAGGAAAAAAACACACAAAAAGUAGGUCAUCUGAAACACGGCGUGUUUUUCGAUAUUAAGAACACAAAGACCGUACUUGUGGUCUUGGCAAGAAUGAAUUUGGAGUCCAAUGAUUCAUGGGAUUGGUCUUGUUUGAUGAGGAUGCAACUGAUGUAUCCUUGAUAUUUGAGGUGAGGCAAGAAUGACAUCCAGGGGAUUUUUACUGUC